Triticum urartu is the source of this 1409-nucleotide long non-coding RNA. RefSeq lists it as uncharacterized. The record is from RefSeq and is a predicted model, not a curated record. NCBI's taxonomy places the organism in Eukaryota, Viridiplantae, Streptophyta, Magnoliopsida, Poales, Poaceae.
ACAUUCCUACCCCACCACCCCACGACCGCUCGUCCCUAACCUCUCCCCCGAUCCCCUGUGAUCCACCGCGACAUCGCCUCCUUCCCCUGGAUCCAGCGCCUCUCGCCGCCGUCUCCCCGGCCUCGGCGCGCCUCUCUCCCUCCCCAGAUCGCCUCCCACCGCCUCCUGCUUCUAGCCGCCCCCGCGCCUUCACCCGACAACGCGCCGCCGCCCUGCAUCUCGCCGCCACCGCCGCCCUCCCUGGAUCUCGCCGCCGCGUGCCUCCUCGCCCAGGGCACUGUCCCACCUUCCCCGCCCCAACCCACCCCCUCCCGGCCUGCCAACCUUCUCCCAUCCUCCCUCCCGGCCGGCGGGCCUCCUCCCUCAACAGUGGCACGCCUCGUCCCCCAUCGCCGGUAUUCCUUUCCCAUGGACAUCGUGCCUCCUCUCCCCCACGGCCGGUGAGCCUCCUCCCCCAUGGACGAUCCAUUCUGUCUAUGCGCCGUCCUCCUCCUGGCUGUGUCCCAUCGAGCGCCGCCCCUGCAUCUUGCCACCACCGCAUCGAGCGUCGCAGCACUCAGGUCGUUCGCCACCACCACCUUCGGCCGUUCAACGAUGCAGCAGCAAGACGUUCAAUGCCUCAGCCCCCCUGCGAAUCCCACUGUUGCAGCAAACCGGACGAGGCCCAUAUCUUUCUUCUUCGAUAAGAUAAUUUUGAUUGCAUACCGUGUUAUUUUGCUCUGUCAUUUUGCUGAUGCCUAAAAAGAAGUUAGAUGAUGGGCUUCUGAUCCCUACUAUGGUCUCAAGCUGCCUCCAACCUUUGGCAAUAUUUGUAAAAAUGAUUGUGCAGAUUUUUCGUUACCCCAUUUUUAGUUACUGAUUGAAGAAAAUUUUGUUCAUUAGGUGAAAGAACUUGAUUUCUUUUUUUCCUUUGUGGAGGAAGAAGGUCACCACAGAGGAAGGGAGAAGGUCAGCAUAACGCUAGGGAGAAGGUCACAUAAGGUGCAGAAAGAAUGUCAGAGUUCAGCAACGGGGUGUGUGAUCUUUGUGUUGUUUUUGGGAUGCAAAUCAUGGAGACAGGCCUGUGACGAGCGCCGCCGUUCAUGCUCCUGCGCGCCACCACACCGAGUCUGUGGUCGUCUCCGCUGCUGCCAUUGAACGUGCUCCGCCAUGGACGCCCCCAUGCAUCCACCCGCGUGGUAAGGUGCCGGGUGUGCACUCCCAACACACAAAAACCUGGGCAGACACAUCACCGGGAGCCACCUCCCCCAAUCCCUGCCGCCAUUCCAUGCAGCAUCGUGCACGCGUGCUUAUUGUCUCCGUCUGGCCUGGGCAGCACUUCAGUUAGAUUUUGCCAACCACCAUUUCAGCCGGCCAAUGUGUAUAUUUUCAGCAGGUCAAUUUGCAUAUAUUCAGCAGGCCAAUGUGUU